Molecule: long non-coding RNA, 259 nt
Filed under: Heterocephalus glaber (naked mole-rat)
Lineage: Eukaryota; Metazoa; Chordata; Mammalia; Rodentia; Bathyergidae
Description: lncRNA (ENSHGLG00000035591.1)
Source: RNAcentral
GCAUGAACUGUUUCUCCUCUGCCAUGCCACCCUGCCUUGGAGUCAGCCAACUAUGGACCGAGACCGCUACAAACUGUGGCCUACGAUACGCCUGUUCUCCUUUAACUUUGGGUGUGGGUAUAUCAUCUCAGUAAUGAGAAAACCCCAGGCCCUGAGCUGGAGAAGUCGUGUUCAAGUGGAAGCACUGGAAAAUGGAAUCCUAAGAUUUUCCUUCCUAACUGCCAUCUAGGGAUCAUAGAGUUACCAGGGAUCCCCUCAC